AACGAACGCUGGCGGCAUGCCUAACACAUGCAAGUCGAACGAGAUCCUUCGGGGUCUAGUGGCGCACGGGUGCGUAAUGCGUGGGAAUCUGCCCUUAGGUUCGGAAUAACAGUUAGAAAUGACUGCUAAUACCGGAUGAUGACGUUAAGUCCAAAGAUUUAUCGCCUGAGGAUGAGCCCGCGUAGGAUUAGCUAGUUGGUGUGGUAAAGGCGCACCAAGGCGACGAUCCUUAGCUGGUCUGAGAGGAUGAUCAGCCACACUGGGACUGAGACACGGCCCAGACUCCUACGGGAGGCAGCAGUGGGGAAUAUUGGACAAUGGGCGCAAGCCUGAUCCAGCAAUGCCGCGUGAGUGAUGAAGGCCUUAGGGUUGUAAAGCUCUUUUACCCGGGAUGAUAAUGACAGUACCGGGAGAAUAAGCCCCGGCUAACUCCGUG
This 436-nucleotide ribosomal RNA is filed under the name uncultured bacterium. RNAcentral's name for it is "partial 16S ribosomal RNA". It matches the Rfam family "Bacterial small subunit ribosomal RNA", at positions 29 to 507 of the family's 1533-position model. The record is from RNAcentral.